ACUAUCACUUUUAUAAGCUUCUCUUUGGUUCUGGCGUUCACAUAAAUAAAGAGACAAACAUGUAUGAUUUAUAACUCCAAAUUAACCAACCCAACUGAUUCAGCAUGUUUAGUCCUUUAAUCUUUGUUCCUAGUACUACCUCCAUGAUCCCACACUCCUAAUCAUAUGAGCUAAAAUGUUACACAUUCAAUCUUUGAGAGAUAUAAAGAAAAAGACAUAUACAUAGAUAGAUUAUCUUUCCGUAAGGUUGAGCGAUCUGAUCUGAUAAAUGUUAUAAGUACUACACUCAUGAACUUAUCAUCCAUCAACUUUGUCUUGCUCACUAUGCUUAAGGUUAGAGAAGAACAAAUACACUUUUGGUUCUGUUGGUGUUUUCCACCAACAGGACCCAUGCACUUGAUCUCUGCCUUGUCUCUAUGAGCAGGUACACUUGAAGCAAACCAUGGUGGAGUUUUACAACUCCCAGACUCUACCAAGUGAAGGACCCGGAUCUACGAGCACAAACACACUGAGCAGGAUACUGCCAAUGCCGCACUUCGAACUACUGGGCAAACGAAGAACAUGGGUGACACCGUAUUAAGAGGUGCAGAUGUCAAGGUCCACACCUGAAUCAAAUGACGCACCUGAAGAAUGAACACGGUGAGAAGUCUUGUUCAGAAGACUUAAAACAUUAAACCAUCGCCGAAAGGUAAAAUCGAUAGUUAUCCAUAUUUAUCCUUUCUGCAUUCCCUUUUCCCUUUAAUUACUUACUUUCCUUAAAUAGCUUAUUAGUUAAUCAUGCUAUCUUGAAAAGAAUAUAAAAAUGUUAAAACUACUAAGCCCCAUGUGAGUAUGCUCGUGGCAUGAAACCCAUAAGUACAUUCACUGUGGUGGCGUAAAAAUAAAAUAAAUAUAUUCCUGUCCUAUAGAAAUGAAAAUAUAAAAAUAAAUUUAUGAUCCUACCAAAGAGAGUAAUAUUUAUUAGAGGAAGCUCAACAUGAUAAAGGCGAAGAGAUUUUAUGCUAACACUUAACCAGUUCCACAAAGCUUUGUUGUCUAUUUGAGCUCGACAGAAUUCAAGGAUCAAAGAAGACUAGCAGUCGGAGGACAUUCUAAUCGCUGUCAGGGUGCUGCCGACAUUCAAAUACACCUCCGCCACCUACUAGCUACAUCAGAAGAAAAUACGUCAAAAUCCAGCUUGGGAGAGAGCACCCCCAUUUAUCCAGCUAAGUGUUUCUACUCAUGUUUAUACUUUACUCAAAUAAUAAAAAGAUGCAUAAUCAUGAAAACCCAAAUAAAGAUUUUUGUGCUUAUAUGUAUAUCUUUGCUUAGUUUGCUAAAUAAAUAAAUAAAUGAAGUUUGCUAUGAACCCUCAUGAUAAGCUCUCACAUAAAAAUGAUGAAUAGUUGCUCUGCCAUUACUAGUUCUCAAAAUUGAAAUCUCUCUCAAGUUUAGGCAUGACUGUUAUGAAUUAAGAUUUGCUCUAAAACUGAACUUGUGGGAAGAGUACUUGAUCAAAAGUCUAUGUCGUUAACGGAUACGAUAUGGGAAGGUUGAGCUGCUAUUUAUCUGUUCCUAGAGAUGCUAGAAUUCUAGAGAAUUUUAUCUUUGAAAAUCUUUAAAAUAUUGCAUGAUGAGUUCCUGUAUGAUGAGUGUUUAAAAUCCUACCACAGCCAUAUAUACAUGCUUAUUAGACUAUGAACCAUACAUUUACUUUUUACUACUUAUGAGCAUUGAGUGUGGUGAAGUUGUGUAGACCCUUAGGAGCUUGUCAUGUGGUUAAAAUCAAGAUUCACUUGCACAUUCACUCAUACAUGCUGCUUCUACUUCAGAAGUACGCAUCUACAUACAUCCAUUCAUUUCCAUCUCCAGAUUCACCCAAAAUUAUUCAACUCCUAUUCAGGAGAGAAUAGCCAAAAACAUUAUCCUAUCCCUGUAAUUCCCCGUGAAAUAAAUGCUCUUGAUAUUUUGGUUACUACCAAUUGCUACAUUAUUCUAGGAGGGUGAGUGCUCUGAAAAAAAGUGAAUACGAGGAAAUAAAAAGGGACAAGUGCCCGAAACCUCGAAGAAAAGAAAAAGUGAGACGAGAGGUAAAAAUGGACAAGUGUCCGACAGUAGAAUUAGGGGUACAAGAUACCCACCUGAGAGAAAAGAAAAAAAGAGAAAAUAUAGAGCAUCUCAUUCCCCUAAAAAAAGCUUCAAAGUGCAAGAAAGGUAUGUAUCCCCUCAAAAGAGCAACAGUAGAAUUAGACUUUCACCAUUAUCACCAUCAUCACCAUACACCAUUCAUGCGCCACACAUGCACAUCUUGAUUUGACUUAUUGACUUGUUUCUUUGGAUCCAUGGUUUGACUAUGCAAUAAAUGACUUGUAAGUAUGUAUUAGCUGUCUCCCACCUAUGAGCUCCAGAUAUCAAAACCUUGUUAGAGUAGGGUGAGAGAGAGGGCAAUAUCAUUAUGCCUCAUACCACAAAUAACACAUACUUUGAGAGAAGGCAUAUAUCAUCACUGCGUUGGUAAGGAUCUAGAAAUACCACAAAAGAGAGACUAGAGAGAGUCAUACAAGGAAUCUCUGAGUUUUAUUUGAAAAUUUGCAAAAACUCCAGAGCUAUAGUUGAUGAAAGAACAAGAGACAUGGUGCUUGACUUGACCGUUCUAUCUUUUAACUGCUCAAGACACAAGUGACGGUUGCAAGCCCCAUGGUGGAAGGUAAUAUGAGUAAUUUUAAAUCUUAACAGUUUACCUUAACCCAGAGAUGAGAUUUUGUUUGAACGCAUGUGUACCUUUAAGGCAUAAAACCACUGAAGAAACUAUUGAGUCCAUCCUUGCUCAGGGACGAGCAAGAGGUAUGCUUGAGGGAGUUGUUGACGGUCCUUAAGUACUAAAUAUAACGAUCAAAUAAAUAAAGAAAAGGAUCCAAAUGCAACGAACACCCAGACUUAGGGUUUUAUCUGACAGAAUUCCAUGAGUUUUGGUGUUUGUCUAUUUCUGCAGGGGGUUAUCAGGAAAUAUGGAGGAAAGGCCCACAUGUCGGGUUUACAUAGAGAUAUGAACGUACCGUGCAAAUUUUUAUCAUCUAGAAGACUCUAGAAGCCACGGGAACGAACGGGAGGCCAAGCGGGCUCGGGGGUAGGGCGCCCGCCCUCCCCCCUUCGGCGCCCGCCCUAUCCCACAGUCCAAUCAGGACUCGCUUCGGGGAUUAUGCUCCACCGAGCUAAAGGAUCAAGAAUAACCGUUCAAUCAACGUCGGUUUGAUCCGACGGCCCAGAUUCACUUGAGGGGACUAUAUAAGCAGACCCCUAGCCUCUGGAGGAGGCACCCCUUGAUCCCUAUUCAUUAUUCAUAGAUAGAGCAAAAGCUAGGGUUUGGAGAUGAGAGCUCUCCUCUCAUCUCUAAACUAGAGUAGAUCUAGAUAGUAGCGAGACGGAGAGCGAGGGAGGAUUGGAGGAGAGGCCGGCCUGUCGAUUCUUCCUCCGGUUGUACUUCGCCAUGAUCAAGCUCUAAUCAAGCUUCCUCAUGGGAUGACUCUGGUAAUCUACUUCUAAUUCACUAUGCAAUUACUAUUCAUGUAUGUUCUGGUUCACAACUCUUUUGUGUACUUCUAAUCUCUAGGACCCUAUAGGUUAGAGUUGUAGUAUAGGUGUAAGCAUGGUGCUUAGACCUAGAUUACUUGUGAAUAUCCCCUGUCUAGCUGGAUCGUGUGGUAGGCCGCGUAGGUGACAGUUACGUUGGUCCCCUGUAGUAAACCUCCUGUUAGCAGGACAGGUAGGGUUUAUCGGCCUAUGGAUAAGCAUCCUUUGUGGUGUAUUCUUAUCACGUAGUUCAUCCCAGACAUAGACAUACCCCUUUGAAGUAGAAAAACCAUAGUUAUCAUCUCUAUUCUGCAACCAUCGCCCAUAUACUAGAAUGCUCUACUCUCUAUUCCCAUAUUAUCACCCAUUGUUAUCUUACCUUUAAUAUUGUUCUUAUUCAAUUCUACCAUCUUUCCUAUUUACACUUAUCUAUCUAUCUUGGUUAAGUUAGAGCGUAGUUGGUUCUCCCGUUUCCCUGUGGAUACGAUAAAACCUUUAACCGGGUAAAAGCUACAACGGUAUCCAUGCGCUUGCAGAUUUAUCUGUGUCCGUAUAAAUACCAUAGUACACUCUAGUGUCAUGCUGGGGAUGACAACCUAGUAUUCAAGUGGUGUUAGCAAGUGUCAACAGUCGUCGGAUGAUGAUCAAAGGGCUUAGGAUUGGGUGGAGAGGUAUUUCUAGUAUUUGACUUCUGGCUAAGCUAUCCUAAGUAUAUUUGAGAGUUAACUCCCUUCCUACUGUGGCCGAUAGGUGAAAAGGGUGUGGCGAAACACUUCCCUAGGCAGCUACCAUGCAAGCCAACUAUUAUUUGCAACUUGCCUAACAACACACUAAAGAGAACUCCUAAUGUCCAGUAGAGGAAUGUUAUGCUUCGCUGCUGGUGUUCUUCAGGUGCGACAAGAAGUCCACAAGGGCAGACAAAGUCUAGACACCAUGUCUACACUAAUUCUACUACUCUAGACCCAGCUAAGGUUUCGAGCACUUCACACAAGGCAAAGCAAUGUGCCAGAUAGGCCGGUUGUAUACUUAAAAUAAACUAAGAUAGAAAGUAAAUACUGGAAAUACUCAGAUGAAAGGAAACUAGAAGGAAGACUUACUAGAAGACAAGCAUCCGCUGAGGCACUCCUAGAAGAAGACUCCCGACAAGUCGGUGUUGACACUUGCUAACACCACUUGAAUACUAGGUUGUCAUCCCCAGCAUGGCACUAGAGUGUACUAUGGUAUUUAUACGCACACAGAUAAUCCGCAAGCGCACGGAUACCGUUGAAGCUUUUACCCGGUUAAAGGUUUUAUCGUAUCCACAAGGAAACGGGAGAACCAACUACGCUCUAACUUAACCUAGAUAGAUAGAUAGGUGUAAAUAGGAAAGAUGGUAGAAUCGAAUAAGAACAAUAUUAAAGGUAAGAUAACAGUGAGUGAUAAUAUGGGAAUAGAGAAUAGAGCAAUUCUAGUAUAUGGGCGAUGGUAGCAGAAUAGAGAGAAUAACUAAGGUUUCUCUACUUCAAAGGGGUAUGUCUAUGUCUGGGACGAACCACGUGAUAAGAGUACACCACAAAGGAUGCUUAUCCUUAGGCUGAUAAACCCUACCCAUGCUGCUAACAAGAGGUGGACUACAGAGGACCAACGUAACCGUCACCUACGCGGCCUACCACACGAUCCAGCUAGAUAGGGGAUAUCCACAAGUAAUCUAGGUCUAAGUGCCACGCUUACACCUAUACUACAACUCUCACCUAUAGCGUCCUAUAGAUUAAAGUACUCAAAAGAGUUGUGAACCAGAACAUACAUAAUUAAUAAUUGCAUAAUGAAUUAGAAGUAGAUUACCAGAGUCAUCCCAUGAGCAAGCUUGAUUAGAGCUUGAUAAUGACGAAGUACAACCGGAGGAAGAACCGACAGGCCGGCCUCUCCUCUAAUCCUCCUUCGUUCUCCAUCUUGCUAUUAUCUAGAUCUACUCUAGUUUAGAGAAGAGAGGAGAGCUCUCCUCACUAAACCCUAGCUUUUGCUCUGUCUAUGAAUAAUGAAUAAUGAUCAAGGGGUGCGUCCUCUAGGGGCCAGGGUGUCUGGUUAUAUAGUCUUUUCAGAUGAAUCUGGGUCGUCGGAUCAAACCGACAUUGAUCGUGUGGUUUUCCUUGAAGUAUUAGGUCGGUGGAGCAUGAUCCACGAAGUUGAAGCUGAUUGGUUACUGUAGCUGGGCGGGCACCCAUGGGACUUGGGCGGGCGCCCUGCCCCCGGGCCCGAUCGGCCUCCCGUUCGUUCCCGUGGCUUCUGGAGUCUUCUAGAUGGUAGAAAAUUGCGCGGCACGUUAAUAUCUCUAUGUAAACCCGAUGUGUGGGUCUUUCUUUCAUAUUUCCUGAUAACCCCCUACAGAAAUAGACAAACACCAAAACUCGUGGAAUUCUGUCAGAUAAAACCCUAAGUCUAGAUGUUGAUUUCAUUUGGAUCCUUUUCUUUGUUUAUUUGAUAAUUAAAUUUGAUACUUAAGGACCGUCAACAAACUCCCCCAAGCUUACCUCUUGCUCGUCCAUGAGCAAGGAUAGACUCAGCAAUGGAUCAGAAGUUGUUGCAAUAUCUUAAAAUUUUGAUGGUACACAUGCUUUUAAAUAAGAUCUCAUCUCUGAGUUAGAGUAAACUGUCAAGAACUAAAACUUACUUACUUUACCUUUCACCAUGGGACUUGUAACCAUCACUUCUGUCUUGAGUAGUUAAAAGAUAGAACAGUCUAGCCAAGUGCCAUAUCUCUUAUUCUUGAUCAGCUAUAGCUCUGGAGUUUUUGCAGAUUUUCAAAUAAAACUCAGAGAUUCCUUGUAUGACUCUCUAAAUCUCUCUUUUGUGGUAUUUCUGGAUCCUUACCAAGGCAGCGAUGGUAUAUGCCUUCUCUCAAGAUAUGUGGUAGUUGUGGUAUAAGGCAUAGUGACAUUUCCUUCUCUCUCACCCUACUCUAAUAAGGCUUUAAUAUCUGGAGCUCAUAGGUGGGAGAUAAAGUAUACAUACUUACAAGACAUUUAUUGUAUAGUUAAACCAUGGAUCCAAAGAAACAAAUCAAUAAGCCAAAUCAAGAUGUGCAUGUGUGGCGAAUGAAUGGUGUAUGGUGAUGAUGGUGAUAACAAUGGUGAAAGUCUAAUUCUACUUUUGCUCUUUUGAGGGGAUAUAUACCUUCUUUGCUUUUUGAAACUUUAUGAGGAGAAUGAGAUGUUCUAUCUUCCAUUUUUCUUUCCUCUCAGGUGCGUAUCCUGUACCCCUAAUUCUACUGUCGGACACUUGUCCAUUUUUACCUCUCGUCUCACUCUUUUUCUUUUCUUUCGAGGUUCCGGGCACUUGCCCCUUUUUAUUUCCUCGUUUAUUUAUUUUUUUUUCUUUUCUUCUCUUUUCUUUUUUUUCAGAGCACUCAUCUCUUGAGAUAAUAUAGCAAGUGGUAGUAGCAAGAUAACUUGAGCAUUUAUUUCACAAGGGAAAACAGAAAUAUUUUUGGCUAUUCUCUCCCGGAUUAGGAGUAGAAUAUUUUUGGGUGGUUCUGGAGAUGGACAUGGAUGGAUAUAUGUGGAUGGUACUUUCAGAGUAGAAGUAGCAUAUAUGAGUGAAUGUGCAAGUGAAAUCUUGAUUUAACCACAUGACAUGCUCCUAAGGGUCUACACAGCUUGACCACACUCAAUGCUCAUAAGCAGUAAAUAGUAAAUGUGUGGCUCAAAGUCUAGCAAGCAUGUAUAUAUGGCUGUGGUAGGAAUUUAAACUUUCAUCAUACCGGAACUCAUCAUGCAAUAUUUUAAUGAUUUUUCAAAGAUAAAAUUCUCCAGAAUUUUAGCAUAUCUAGGAACAGAUAAACAGCAGCUCAACCUUCCCAUAUCAUAUCCGUUAACAACUUAGAUUUCAGAUCAAGUUUUUAUCCCACAAGUUUAGAUCUAGAGCAAGCUUUAAAUUAUAACAGUUAUGUCUAAACUUGAGAGAGAACUUCAAAUUUACAAAUUAGGCAGAGCAACUAUUCAUCAUAUCCAUGCUAGAGUUUUAUUAUUAAGAUUCAGAUUAGCAUAGCCACUUUAUUUAUUUAUUAAACACACUAAGCAAAAGAUAUAUAUAAGCACAAAAUCUUUAUUUGGUUUUUCAUAGUUUAUGUAUUUUAAUAUUCUAAUAUAAUAUAAGUAUAAAGAUAGUUAGAAAUACUUAGCGAGAUAAAUGGGGGUGCUCUUCCCCAAGCUGAAUUUUGACGUAAUUUCUCUUGAUGUAGCUAGCAGGUGGCAGAGGUGUAUUUGAAAGUCAGUAGCAUUCUGACAGCGAUUAGAAUGUCCUCCGUCUGCUAGUCUUCUUGAUUCUUAAAUUCUGUGGAGCUCAAAUAGACAACAAAGCUUGUGGAACUAAUUAAGUGUUAGCAUAAAUAUCUAGCCUUCAUCAUGUUGAGCUUCGUCAAUAAAUAUUACUCCCUGUUUUUAUAUUUUUAUUUUAUAAAGCAGAAAAGAAAUAUUUAUUUUAUUUUUAUGCCACCACAGUGAAGGUACUUAUGGGUUUUAUGCCACUCGUAUACUCACAUGGGGCUUAGUAUUUUUUAAUAUUUUUAUUUUCUUUUCAAGAUAGCAUGAUUAACUAAUAAUCUAUUUAAGGAAAGUAAAUAAUUAAAGGGAAAAGGGAAUGCAGAAAGGAUAAAUAUGGAUAACUACCGAUCUUACCUUUCGGCGAGGGUUCAAUGUUUUAAGUCUUCUUAACAAGACUUCUCACCGUGUUCAUUCUUCAGGUGCGUCAUUUGAUUCAGGUGCGGACCUUGACGUCUGCACCUCUUCGUUUGCCCAGCAGUGGCGUUGGCAGUAUCCUGCUCAGUGUGUUUGUGCUCGUAGAUCCAGGUCCUUCACUUGGUAGAGUUUGAGAGUUACAAAACUUCUCUGUGUUUUGUUCAAAGUAUACCUGCUCAUAGAGACAAGGCAGAGAUCAUGUGCAUGGGUCCUGUUGGUGGAAAACACCAACAGAACCUAAAGUGUAUUUGUUCUUCUCUAACCCUAAGCAUAGUGAGCAAGACAAAGUUGAUGGAUGAAAAGUUCAUGAGUGUAGCACUUAUAACAUUUGUCAGAUCAGAUCGCUCAACCUUAUGGAAAGAUAAUCUAUCUAUGUAUAAUGCUUUUUCUUUAUAUCUUCUCAAAGAUUGAAUGUAUAACAUUUUAGCUCAUAUGAUUAGGAGUGUGGGAUCAUGGAGGUAGUACUAAGAACAAGGAUUAAAGGACUAAACAUGUUGAAUCAGUUGGGUUGGUUAAUAUAGAGUUGUAAAUCAUACAUGUUUGUCUCUUUUAUUUAUAUGAACGCUAGAACCAAGGAGAAGCUUAUAAAAGUGAUAGUCAAGUACCUUAAGAUGUUACCUUGCUUGAAGAGUGAUGGUACAAUAUCACCUUGUGGAAGCUUUCCUUUCUUAGCGGUUGUGCAUCGUGUUUGUGGCACCCUCCGUGGAUCAUCUCUCUAUGAUGAAUGAGCUAUGUCCUUCUUGUGCAAAUUGUUAAACUUCAUGUGUCACUCUCUUCGUCUCUGAUGUGAGUUUAUCUCAGGACUUCCCAAAUCGAUAUUGAAAGUUUUUCUGCAGGGGUUAGUCCGACAAAAAUAUACCAAUGUCUACACAAGCAGUUUUUAGUUCAAUAACCGAACUAGACUCCAUGUCUAAUCAGAUUAAGGAAGGCUGUUUAACUUAAGCACCAUGCUUAAUUUAAAAGCCAAUAGAAGUAUGUGUAGUACUUCCAAACUAACACUUACUAGGAUAAACAAAGGUAGCGUGAUGGCAUUUAUAGAGAUCUACUCGAGUGGAGACGAAGUAGUGUGAUUAGUAUUUAACAAAUUGAGCAUGUCUUAAAGGUAGGGACAACCAACAUAGCAACAUGGCAAAGAAUGUUUUUAUGUAAAGUACUCCCCUAAGCUUGAUUUUUGCAGAAUUCAAGUUUGGAUGAAUUUAAUUCAGUGUUGCAUGAUGAUUGGUUGGACAUACCUUGUACUUGCUUGUCAUUCAUCUGAUCUUCUUGUUCCAAUCCUGAAAAGGUUAGUGACAAGAAUACCUGAAGGAAUAUUUUUACAAUUAUCCUUAUAUGCUCAAUACACAAGGUAAUGUUGCAAAUAAUUAAAAACUCAUGUUACGAUCUGAUCAGUGCUUAUUUUAGGACACUGAGCUUGUCCUUGGGAAACCAUCAAUUUAUGUCGGCGAAGUGGUUUCCCUUCCAACGCUGACCUAAAUCAAGAUCAACUCAACGCGAUCUGCAAUAUUUAUUAUAGACAUAUGCAUCGACAACCACCCUUUUAAAGUUUUUAUAAAUAGAAAGGAAGAGGGGGUUGGAGAUCUCAAAUGUGGUGAUGUUAGAGAGACCAAUAGAUUGGGAAGAUGUUACAUAUGAGCAUGGAGUAAACAAAGUGGCUAUGAAAUAAAUUCCAUGCUCAUUAAUGUUAUCUUCGUCUCCAAUCUGAAUGUUCAGAGUUCCUCUUGGAUUGGUCUAACUUAUGUCCUCUUCUAUAGUUGGAUGAAUCCCAUCUUCAAAGGGAGUCAAGAACUCACCAUUUGAAAUUGAACCAAAGUCAGAAUUCAUUAAGGCUUCUUCCUUAUCCAUCCAUUCUACACAUUCUAGCCAUUUAGAACUUGUGAUCAGGAAAGGGGAGGUGUUAGAAUUUUCUAUAUGGCUUAGCUCUCCUUCACUUGAUAUGUCAUCCUUGACUUCUUCAUAACAGGAACCAGGACAUUCUCUAAGGAUAUGUCAUCCUCGACUUCUUCAUAACAGGAACCAGGAUAUUCUCUAAGAGAACCAUUAUUGCAAGGAUUUGAAUUAUCCCUACUUGAAGGUCUCUUAUGGAACCAGAAGUCUAAACCAUCAGCAUCUGAAAGAUUUAAGGUCGGAAUUCCUUCCUCCCUUCGACAAUUUUGGGGUAUUGAUGGUUUAGGAUUGAUAGCUAAAGUUUGGAAUUGAAGUGGUUGUGAUCUGGCUAUCGAAACUUCUUCUUCUUGUCUAGGAACUGGUUCUGUCUCUUUCUCAGGGAUAUAAAAGCUAGGAGACUUUCCACUUAAUAAAUCAAUCAAAUUCCAAGCUUCACUAGCAGGUAGGUGAUAGAAGGAUCCUCUAGAGGCUGUAUUCAAGGUUUGCUUAUCUUCCCUACUAAGGCCCUCAAAAAAGUGAAUUAGAAGAACUUCUUCUGGAAUAGAAAGCUUUGGGCCAGUGAGAGUAAGGUUAAUAAAGCGGUCCCAUGAUUUGCCAAGAGAUUCUUCUUCCAGUUGUCUAAAAGAAAUAAUCUCACGCCGAAGUUCCGCCACUUUGGAGAUUGGAAAAUACUUAGAAAUAAAACUACUAUAUAACUCCUUCCAAUCUCCAUGAACACUCCCUAUUUUGAGUUUGUACCAAUGUCUAGCUUUUCCCGUUAAAGAGAACGGAAAGAGCUUCCAUUUGAGGGUCUCAUCGGACAUUCCUUCUAUGCGAAGGAGGUCACAGACUCGAUAAAACUCUCUUAGGUGUGUCUAUGGGUUUAGACAGAGCAAAAGCUAGGGUUUAGAGAUGAGAGCUCUCCUCUCUUCUCUAAACUAGAGUAGAUCUAGAUAGUAGCGAGAUGGAGAGCGAGGGAGGAUGGGAGGAGAGGCCGGCCUGUCGGUUCUUCCUCCAGUUGUACUUCGCCAUGAUCAAGCUCUAAUCAAGCUUGCUCAUGGGAUGACUCUGGUAAUCUAAUUCUAAUUCAUUAUACAAUUACUAAUCCUGUAUGUUCUGGUUCACAAUUCUUUUGAGUACUUUAAUCUAUAGGACGCUAUAGGUGAGAGUUGUAGUAUAGGUGUAAGCGUGGUGCUUAGACCUAGAUUACUUGUGGAUAUCCCCUCUCUAGCUAGAUCUUGUGGUAGGCCGCGUAGGUGACAGUUACGUUGGUCCCCUGUAGUCCACCUCUUGUUAGUAGGACGGGUAGGGUUUAUCGGCCUAUGGAUAAGCAUCCUUUGUGGUGUAUUCUUAUCACGUGGUUCAUCCCAGACAUAGACAUACCUUUUUGAAGUAGACAAACCAUAGUUAUCCUCUCUAUUCUCCUACCAUCGCUCGUAUACUAGAUUGCUCAAUUCUCUAUUCCCCUAUUAUUACACAUUGUUAUCUUAUCUUUAAUAUUGCUCUUAUUCAAUUCUACCAUCUUUCCUAUUUACACUUAUCUAUCUAUCUUGGUUAAGUUAGAGCAUAGUUGGUUCACCAGUUUCCUUGUGGAUACGAUAAAACCUUUAACCGGGAAAAAGCUACAAUGGUAUCCGUGCGCUUGCGAAUUUAUCUGUGUGCAUAUAAAUACCAUAGUACACUCUAGUGCCAUGUUGGGGAUGACAACCUAGUAUUCAAGUGGUGUUAGCAAGUGUCAACAAGCAUUUUUGGCACCGUUGCCGGGGAGACGGUUGCUGAGUUGACUACGAACUAGCUUAAUCAUUUUAUAAAAAAAUAAUAAAAAAAUAUAUAUUUUCCUUUUAUCCUUUGCCUCAUCUCUGCUAUUCUUUCUUCUUAUCUAAUCCUUGAUUUCUGGUCUAUCAUGAAUGCAAACAUGUCUAUCUAUGAAUUUCAUAGACCUACGGGCACACAUCUCGAACCACCAAAAUCUUCAAAGCCUAUCAUAGCAUCUAGUUUUGAGAUAGACCCCGAAUACAUAGAAUUUGUUCAAAAACAACCUUUCUCAGGAGAAGGUGAGGAAAACCCAUACACACACCUAAGAGAGUUUUAUAGAGUCUGUGACCUGCUUCGCAUAGAAGGCAUGUCCGAUGAGACCCUUAAAUGGAAGCUCUUUCCGUUCUCUUUAAUAGGAAAAGCUAGACAUUGGUAUAAACUCAAAGUAGGGAGUGUUCAUGGAGAUUGGAAGGAGUUACAUAAUAGUUUUCUUUUAAAAUAUUUUCCAAUCUCUAAAGUGGUGGAACUUCGGCGUGAGAUUAUUUCUUUUAGACAACUGGAAGAAGAAUCUCUUGGCAAAUCAUGGGACCGCUUUGUUAACCUUACUCUCACAGGCCCAAAGCUUUCUAUUCCACAAGAAGUUCUUCUAAUUAACUUUUUUGAGGGCCUUAGUAUGGAAAAUAAGCAAACAUUGAAUACAGCCUUCGGAGGAUCUUUCCACCACCCAUCCGCUAGUGAAGCUUGGAAUUUGAUUGAUUUAAUGAGCGGAAAGUCUCCUAGCUUUUUUAUCCUUGAGAAAGAGAAAGAACCAGUUCCUAGAAAAGAAACAGAAGUUUCAAUAGCCAGAUCACAACCACUUCAAUUCCAAACUUUAGCUAUCGAUCCUAAACCAUCAAUACCCCAAAAUUCUCCAAGGGAGGAAGGAAUUCCGACCUUAAAUCUUUCAGAUACUGAGGGUUUAGACUUCUGGUUCCAUAAGAGACCUUCAAGCAGGGAUAAUUCAAAUCCUUGCAAUAAUGUUCCUCUUAGAGAAUGUCAUGGUUCCUUUUAUGAAGAAGUCGAGGAUGACAUAUCAAGUGAAGGAGAGCUAAGCCAUAUAGAAAAUUCUAUCAGCUCCCCUUUCCUGAUCACAAGUACCAAAUGGCUAGAAUGUGUAGAAUGGAUGGAUAAGGAAGAAGCCUUAAUGGAUUCUGAGUUUGGCUCAAUUUCAAAUGGUGAGUUCUUGACUCCCUUUGAAGAUGAGAUUCAUCCAACUACAGAAGAGGACAUAGGUGAGACCAAUCCAGGAGAAACUCCGAACAUUCAGAUUGGAGACGAAGAUAACAUUAAUGAGCAUGAAAUUUAUUUCAUAGCCACUUUUUUUACUCCAUGCUCAUAUGUAACAUCUUCCCAAUCUAUUGGUCUCUCCAACAUCACCACAUUUGAGAUCUCCGACCCCCUCUUCCUUUCUAUUUAUUAAAACUUUAAAGGGCGGUUGUCGAUGCAUAUGUCUUUAAUAAGUAUUGCAGAUCUCGUUGAGUUGAUCUUGAUAUAGGUCAGCGAUGGAAGGGAAACAUUUGCCGACAUAAAUUGAUGGUUUCCCAAGGACAAGGUGUUGGGUAUUCUUAACAUCACUACCAAAAGUAGACAGCUUUCUAAUUCUAGUAACGGUGCCAAAAAUGCCAAACCUAUCCCUCAUACCACUUAAGCCAAGUUAUGAUCCCCAGCAUGACAUGAGAGACGCGGUAUUGAAAUAUGCAAUUGCUCUUCUAAAUAUAUAAUGAAUGGAGUCUGCAAGCGCACAGAUUAAUACCGAUGUAGCAUUUUAACCGGGAAGUAUUCCAGGUAUCGUUAUUUAUAUUUUUACCACUGGGAAGGGAUUAACAAUCAUCAAUAUUGAUUACAGAAUAGAAUAUGAGAUUGAGUAUCUAUCAUUGCAUGUAUAAUUGAGAACAUUGUAUCUAAUUCUUUCAUAUAGGGGUAAGUGUCACAUAAAAGAUAUAUGAAAUAAUGAAUAGUGACAAAGGUAAUUAGUCUGAUCAUAACUUCGCCACAUAUAUAUAUGAUAAGCACCUCAAUUAGAUACUCUAGAAAGUCAUUAGCAUGGUAUUAGAACGAACUACAAGAAUAUUUCCUAAGUUAUUCUCAACUAUAUAGUCUAGCAUUAUCAUAGUUAGUGCAAGCAUACUUAGCAAUCAUUGUGAGACAAGACUACGCCCAUGCAUAGUGAUAUUAGCAAGGUAAAUGAGAAACAUAGCAAUCACUCCCCUGUAAUAAUGUUGCUCUGCUAGCCCGAUACACGAGAGGGGGACUAUAUAAGAAUCAAUGAAGCUGUCACUAUCACGAACUACCCCACGAUCUGGCAUAUUGGGUACAAUCACAGAUAAAUACGGUAUAAGCACCACGCCUACACAAUAUCUAUCAUUUACCCAUGGAUCUGAUGGAUAAACGCUAUACAAUCCUAAACAUGUAUAUAGAUCCAAUCUGUCGAGGGUAUCAGUAAGGGGUACCCUCACCGAUGCACAUAACGAGACUACCCGUACGCAGGUCGAGGCCCUCAACUCGAUGCCCUGGUCAUACAUAUGCGCGGUCGUCGACGACCGCAGCCUCGAAGACGGAAAUAGCGUCGAGCGAAUCGAUCAGGGUCGAGCGCCAGCUACCGUCGAAUACGGAAACGGGCUCGCACGAACCAGGAGGCGUCGAGCGCAAGGACGCCGCCCGCCGCCUGACGCGUGCACGAGAGCCAGGGCAUUUAAUGCGCCUGUCGCUUUCCCACCUAAUACGCUGGUCACGGGAAGCGUGAUAGGGAACAGGCACCCGUCCCGUCGUUCUUUUUGCAGCCUUCUCCACCAAACGACCCACAGCAUGUCAGGACGCGGGAAGCAGGGAUGGAACGUCUAAUGAGGACCCCCUCGAGGUAGCCAAGGUCAGCGCUCUGGAUAUCAGGGCAUUGCACGGCAUCCGACCCUCGAUCAGACAUGGUUCCUUCUUGGAGACGAGGUGGGCGUCGACUGACAACAUCGCAACCACUCCGCCGGAUCUGCCGCCAUACCGUACAAGCGUGCGACCGGUGAACCAGCCCAAGACGGCGCGCAGAGCAGGAUACAGGGGCACGCGUAAUCGUCAUCGAGCUACCAAGAUGGGAUGGCUCGAGACCACGCCAGUACGGAGGCCUCGAGUAGGUCAGCGCGCCAUGCUUCUAUCGACCCCUACUCUGACACCUAUACAUGUACCCUAGGUCUCUCCUUGGAGCUAUAAAAGGAAGGACCCGCGAGUAGAUAGACACACGCAACACUACACCCAUACGCAGUAGAACUCCCAUACUCCAUACCACGCUUGUAUUCGCCCCUGUACAAGCACUUAGGUGCAAGAUAAUACAAACUUCCCUCCCCCGCUGAACGUAGGGCCUUCUCUUGCCCGAACCAGGAUAAAUCUUUGUGUCUUCUUGCAUCACCAUCUGGGAAAGGGAGCACGCAUACAAAUUUACUCGUUGGUGUGACCCCCGUGGCGAAAACACCGACAGUUGGCGUGCCAGGUAGGGGUCCUGCGUGUUUUUUCAUCGAUUUCCCAUUCCUUUCCAGAUGGCCACUCUCGCCUCGCCGAUUCCGCGCUCCACGGUGAUUUGGUUUGGGAGUCUCGAGUUCAUGUCUACUGGCUCCGGCUAUGACAUGAUCUUGCUCUCGAUCAAAGGACCGGGAGGAGCUCGCGUUGCGCCAGCACGGUUGAGGGCCCCGAGAUGCCCUCGCCACCACGCCUCCCCGCCCAAGAAGAGGCGUGGACAGCACCAUCGUCGCCCCUCUGCCUCGUCACGACCUGCAGUUUGUGCUAGGCAGGAGGUGACACAGGAGCCGGCAGCCCCGCGUGCCGGAGCCAUGGACGUGCCGGCUCAGUGUCACAUGACGACAAGAGGAGACGCACCUACCGCCAGGCUACUUCCACACGGGUUGUUCACUCCAAGAAGGGCACUGCCAUUCGGAUUGGACAACGUCGCGGCAUCGCUAGCCAGAGCGAUAUGCCCAAACGCCCAGACGUACGUGGAGAGACCAAUGGUCCUCCCAUGUAACUCUAAAGCACAACAACCGACGUCCGAAUUGCCAGAUUUCUCCUAGGUACGAGGCCUCCGUCGCCUAGGCCCUGGACGGUACACGAUCACCUCACUCAGGCAGCGGCUGCUGGAGGAGAGACGUGGAUGUUUCUAUGCCGCCAAGCCGGACUCCGAUUCCAAGACCGAUAGCUACGACCCUACUAGGGACUGCUAUCACAUCGACGGAGCGGUAGAAACUACCGACGAGACGCAGGAUGCAGCUGCGGGCGGUCGAGCCCCUGCGGCAAGGGAAGACCCCAGGACGCCUGGGAACGACGGACAGGUCGACCCGCUUCCACAGGAAGACAGGGCUGCGCAGCUCGCGCAGCUACGAGAGCUCAAGACCAAGCUUGACGAGGAUCGUGAGCGCCUCGUCUUGCUCGAGCAAAUCCUCGAGCAAGACUUGCCUUACCCGCCUAGCGGGAGUGUCCGUAGGCGUGCUCGAGAGGUACACCGGCAAAUCAUCGGAGACGCGGAGCCAGAGCAACCCGUCAACCGCUUCCCUCGAGCAGGCCAGAAUGUAGUGGCAGCAACAAUGCUGCUACGCAACAUGCCAGAGUCAUCGAACUCCCAAGCUCGACGCAUUCGAGACGAGGUGCAGACUUUGCUCCAGGUAGUGGCGGUUCAACAAGCCGAAAGCUCGGCUUCUCUAUGACGAGGAGCCGCCACUGAAAAGCGCGAUGAGCCACCCCAAAAUGAAAAGGAGGUUUCAGUCCAUCAACAGCCACCCCCUCGAGGAAGAAAGACCACUCUUGUCCUCCCUGUCGACAAUCAGCGUCGACACAACGCGUGGCAUGACAUCGAAGAGAGUCGACGCCGUCGGUAUGGGGACGCGGAAGAGCGUGGUUACAGCGCACAUCGCGGUGGGAGGUAUGACAGCGACGAGGACCGGAUGGCCCCCGAACCACCAGGCCCACGGGUGUUCAGCAGGGCAAUCCGCAGCACGCCUACCAGCAUCGCAAAAUACAAUGGUGAGACCAAACCAGAGUUGUGGCUGGCCAAUUUUAGGCUGGCCUGUCAGCUAGGAGGCGCUCGAGGAGAUGAUCGAGCUAUCAUCAGACAGCUACCGCUCUUCCUCUCCGACACCGCCCGUCGAUGGCUCGAGGAACUUCUAGCUAAUCAGAUCCAUGACUGGGUCGAUUUGGUUAGAGUCUUCGAGGGUAAUUUCAAAGGGACCUACAUACGGCCCGGGAACUCGUGGGACCUCAGCAAAUGCAAGUAGAAGUCAGGAGAAACUCUUCGAGAGUACGCUUGACGCUUCUCAAAACAGCGCACCGAGCUGCCACAUAUCCCCGACCACGACGUCAUCCUGGCAUUUGUCUCUGAUACCACUAGUCGAGACUUGGUGCGGGAAUUAGGUCAAAAUGGACCUCAGACCAUCGAUGAGCUCAUGGACGUAGUGGCAAACUACGCAGCAGGAGAGGAAGCAGUCGGUGCCUUCUUUAGUUGUGAAGGAAGGAAAGGCAAGCAGCCUGCCGAUGAAGAUGGGACCCCCAGUCGAGGGCUCAAGAAGAACAAGAAGAAGCAGAAAGUGCGGCAGUUCAAGUAGGAGAACUUCGACGACGACCUCGUCGCCGCCAUGGAGCGGAAGAAACCUCGAGGCCCCCCAGAUGGGGGUAUCUUCGAUAAGAUGCUAGAGGAACCAUGCCCUUACCAUAAAGGAGGAGCCAACCACAAGCUCAAGGACUGUCGUAUGCUGAAAAAGCAUUUCGACGGCCUAGGGUUCAGAAAGGACGCGCGCGACGACCCAAAGAAGGAGAAGGCGGCGACAAGGAGGGCAACAAGGAUGACGAUGGUUUCCCUGCCGUCCACAACUGCUACAUGAUCUAUGGUGGGCCCUCAACGCAGUUGACUGAUAGGCAGCGCAAGAGGGAACGCCGUGAGGUCUUCGCCGCAAGAAUGGCGGUGCCCCAGUACCUCAGCUGGUCGAGCACACCCAUCACCUUCGACCGAGAGGAUCACCCCGACAAGGUGGUUGCCCCAGGCGUCUACCCGCUCGUCGUCGACCCCAUCAUUGUCAAUACCCGGCUCUCGAAGGUGCUAAUGGACGGAUGCAGCAGCCUCAACAUCAUCUAUCUCGAGACCCUCGACCUCCUCGGCAUCGACAGGGGACGGCUCAAACCAAGCGCUGGCGGUUUCCAUGGCGUCGUGCCAGGGAAAAAGGCGCUGCCAGUGGGUCGAAUCGACCUACCCGUCUGCUUUGGCACGGCAGCCAACUUCAGGAAGGAGACGCUCACCUUUGAAGUGGUCGGGUUCCGAGGCACGUAUCACGCCAUCAUCGGGCGCCCGGGCUACGCCAAGUUCAUGGCCAUACCCAACUACACUUACUUGAAGCUGAAAAUGCCCGGUCCCAAAGGAGUCAUCACCGUCAGCUCCUCCUUCGAGCACGCUUACGAGUGCGACGUCGAGUGCGUCGAGUAUGGGGAGGCGGUUGAAAACUCCACCCAGCUCGUCGCAAAGCUCAAGGCCCUGGCCGCUGAGGCUCCAGAGCCCAAACGCCACGCGGGCAGCUUCGAGCCAGCAGAGGGGACCAAGAAGAUCCCGCUCGAUCCUAACAACUCCGACGGCAAGGUGCUGACGAUCAGCGCCGACCUCGACCCCAAAUAGGAAGCUGUGCUUGUCGACUUUCUCCGUGCGAACGCCGACAUGUUCGCAUGGAGUCCCUCGGACAUGCCAGGCAUACCGAGGGAAGUCGCCGAGCACUCCUUGGAGAUUCGAGCCGGUUCCAAGCCAGUGAAGCAACGGUUGCGCCGAUUCGACGAGGAGAAGCGCAUGAUCAUUGGCGAGGAGGUCCACAAGCUUUUGACGGCCGGAUUCAUCAAGGAGGUUCACCAUCCCGACUGGUUAGCAAACCCUGUACUAGUUAAGCAAAAGAAUGGGAAAAUGAGGAUGUGUGUCGAUUAUACGAGUUUAAAUAAAGCAUGUCCGAAAGUUCCCUUUCCAUUACCAUGUAUUGAUCAAAUUGUUGAUUAUACUGCGGGAUGUGAAACCCUUUCUUUUCUUGAUGCAUUUUCUGGUUACCAUCAAAUAAAAAUGAAAGAGUCCGACCAGCUCGCGACCUCUUUCAAGACACCUUUUGGGAUGUAUUGCUAUGUAACCAUGCCGUUUGGGCUUCGAAAUGCGGGAGCCACGUACCAACGCUGCAUGCUUCACGUAUUUGGCAAGCACAUAGGGUCGACGUUCGAGGCCUAUGUCGACGACAUUGUCGUCAAAUCAAAGCGGCGAGGAGACUUGAUCCAGGACCUUGAGAUCGCUUUUAGCUGCUUACGCGUCAACCAGAUCAAGCUCAAUCCCGAGAAAUGCGUUUUCGGCGUGCCUCGAGGCAUGCUCUUGGGUUACAUUGUUUCCCAGCGGCAUCGAGGCCAACCCCGAGAAAGUCUCGGCCAUCACAAGAAUGGGGCCAAUCCGAGACAUCAAGGGUGUGCAGAGAGUCACGGGAUGCCUAGCGGCGCUGAGCCGUUUCAUCUCGAGAUUAGGAGAAAAGGCGUUACCACUGUAUCGACUUCUAAAGAAGGUCGAGCGUUUUUCUUGGACCCCCGAGGCUGAGGAAGCCCUCGAAAAUCUGAAGAGAACGCUGACCUCAGCACCAGUCCUGGUCUCACCUCAACCUGCGGAACCACUGCUCCUUUACGUCGCCUCGACGACCCAGGUUGUCAGUGCGGCGGUGGUGGUCGAAAGGCAGGAGGAGGGGCACGCAUUGCCAGUCCAGGGGCCAGUAUAUUUCGUCAGCGAGGUGCUCUCGGAGACCAAGGCACGUUACCCCCAAAUUCAGAAGCUGAUCUACACCGUAAUCCUCGCCCGCCGUAAGCUGCAGCACUACUUCCUCGGUCACCCCAUCACGGUGGUCCCGUCUUUCCCCCUGGGCGAGAUAAUCCAGAGUAAGGAGGCCACGGGAAGAAUAGCUAAAUGGUCGGUCGAGCUCAUGAGUGAGACUCUCACUUAUGCGCCUCGCAAGGCCAUCAAAUCGCCAGCUCUGGUGGACUUCGUCGCGGAAUGGACAGACUCCCAGCUUCCCCCGACCCAGGUCCAGGCGGAGCUGUGGAUGAUGUAUUUCGACGGGUCACUCUUGAAAACAGGGGCCGGGGCCGGCCUGCUGUUCAUCUCGCCCUUGGGCAUCCAUAUGAGAUACGUCAUCAGGAUUCACUUUGCCGCAUCUAACAAUGUCGCAGAGUACGAGGCCCACGUCAACGGUCUCAAGAUCGCCAUCGAGCUAGGAGUCCGACGCCUCGACGUCCGAGGCGACUCCCAACUCGUCAUUGACCAAGUGAUGAAGACUUCAAGCUGCCAUGACCUGAAAAUGGAGGCGUACUGCAAAGAAGUCCGUCGACUCGAGGACAAAUUCCAUGGCUUUGAGCUCGUCCAUGUCGCCCGACGCUACAACGAGGCAGCCGACGAACUCGCCAAGAUCGCGUCGACCCAAGGCACGGUGCCACCUGACGCGUUCUCGAGAGAUCUUCACGAGCCAUCCGUCGACUUGGGCUUGGGGGCUGGCGUCGAUGCCGAUCCUGCCCAGCCAACCGACAUCGUCGACGCACUGUUAAUGUCAGCUGAGGCGAUGGAGGUAGAACAGCGGCCCGGUCGACCGUUCGACUGGCGCACACCAUUACUCGACUGCCUAAUCCGCUGCGAGCUGCCAGAAGAUCGAUCUGAGGCCCGCCAUAUCGCUCGAAGAGCCAAGUCAUACGUGAUUUAUGGCGAAGACAAUGAGCUAUAUCGAUGAAGCCCGACGGGGAUUUUGCAGCGUUGCAUCACCGUGGAAGAAGGCCGGAAACUCCUCGAGGAUCUGCACUCGGGGGCUUGUGGCCACCAUGCUACUCCACGGACCCUUAUAGGGAACGCCUUCCGACAAGGCUUCUACUGGCCAACGGCCGAAGCAGAUGCCGUCAAGCUCGUACGCUCAUGUGAUGGUUGCCAGUUCUACGCCAAACAGACGCAUCUGCCCGCCCACGCUCUUCAGAUGAUCCCCAUCACAUGGCCAUUUGCGGUGUGGGGGCUCGACUUAGUAGGGCCCCUACAAAAGGCGAAAGGCUGGUACACCCACUUGCUGGUGGCCACCGACAAAUUCUCCAAAUGGAUCGAGGCUCGACCCAUCACCAACAUCCGCUCCGAGUAGGCCGUCCUUUUCUUCACCGACAUCAUCCACCGGUUUGGGAUUCCCAACGUCAUCAUCACCGAUAACGGCACUUAGUUCACCGGCAAAAAGUUCUUGAACUUCUACGAUCAGCAUCACAUCCGUGUGAACUGGUCUGCAGUAGCCCACCCUCGAACUAACGGCCAGGUCGAGCGUGCCAACGGCAUGAUUUUGCAAGGACUCCAGCCAAGGAUCUACAAUCGCUUGAAGAAAUUCGGCAAGAAGUGGGUCGAGGAGCUUUCAUCGGUCCUAUGGAGCCUGAGGACAACGCCAAGCAGGGCCAUAAAAUACACCCCAUUCUUCAUGGUCUACGGCUCAGAGGCUUUCCUCCCCACAGACCUCGAGUAUGGGUCUCCUCGACUCAAAGCAUACAACGAGUAAUCAAAUAUGGAAACUCAAGAAAACGCGGUCGACCAACUUGAGGAGGCUCGAGACAUGGCCCUCCUCAACUCUGCCAGAUAUCAGUAGAAACUUUGACGCUACCACGACAAGCACGUGCGCAAGAGGGACUUAAACGUGGGCGACCUUGUCCUACGACGGCGGCAAAGCAAUCAAGGACGCCACAAGCUGACUCCACCUUGGGAGGGCCCGUACGUGGUAGCCGAGGUCUUGAAGCCAGGGACGUACAAGCUCGCGGACGAAAAGGGGGCGAUCUUCACCAACGCGUGGAACAUCGAACAGCUACGUCGAUUCUACCCCUAGAAGUUCAAAACUUUAUGUCCCUAUGUACAUUCUGUACCAAGGCCUUGUAAAUGAAUAAAUAAAGCCUUUCCCUCAAGCGAUUUACUUUCUCACAAAUCUCGAUGCCAGAAGGGAGUACCAACUAUGACCCAUCAUAGUCAAUACCCCCUCGGGGGCUACCAGGGGGGCAACCCCCCCCCCAAGUGUCGAAAAAACCAAGAAAUUCUCUCUUCCUUACUUAGUAAACCUUGCACGUUCGAGUAGUUGAGGCGCCUCGAGCCCCUUAAGGGCCGAGGGACAACGAGUCUGAGAACUCCUACGCCCCCGGGCUAUGGAAACUCUACACACUUCCUCACCCUCGAGGUGACCGAGGCUGUUUUUAACAAAAGAUCGAACAAGGAAUACAAACGUAGGCGCAAAGGGAAAUAAAAGAACCUCGAGCGGAAAGAUAGAUAAACAUUUAACAGUCACAAAAAGACAUUGUACCACUUAUAGAGAAGUUAAUAGAGUAUUAUACAAGGGGCCCUAGGCACCCUAAGCAGGCUCGCAGGCCUCAGUCUUCAGCACGAUCCUCACCACCCUCGCCUACGCCCGAGCUAGUCUCAGGAGGAAGCACCUCAGGCUCAAAUAGCUUGGCCAGCCUCUCUCCAGGAGCCUCCGCGUCGUCGAUCAAGGCGUGGAGCCUCUCUUCGUUCUCCGCGUCGGUCUUAGAGAUGUCGGUGACGAAGCCGUGGGACACCACCUCCAUGUCGUAGGAGAAGACCGAGCAGACAACCGCCAUCGCCCGCUUCACCCCGAUGUGGAGGGCAUCCCGCACCCGAUCUCUCAGCGUCGCGCCUAGGUAGCACAGCUGGUCGACCAGUGCGUCGCCUCGAGCGUCCUCCUUCGACUCGUCCAUAGGCUCGACCUCCCAAGAGGUCGAGAGGUCGUUUAUCGCCGUCCGCACUCGACGGUUCAAAGCAAUCUCCGCCUCAAGCUGGGCCUUAGCACUACGGGCCUCGACUUGGGCGGCCAAGAGUUCGUCCUUAAGCCCUAUAAAUGCCAAUACAAGAAGCUUUAGAAAAAACCAAGCACACCUCGAAAAAGAAAUCCGACAAAGGAAACGUACCGCGGACAUUCUCCUCCAGGGCCGUGUUCUCGCCGAUUAGUCUGGUGUUGGCCCUCUCGAUCUCUUUGUUGGAGCGGGCCAGCUCAGUGUUGGCAACGCGGAGAUCCUCGAUCGCCUGGCCAGCCUGAGCAAUGGCCCCACUCUUCUCCAACAGCUCUCCCUUCAGACGUUCGACGUUGUCAGAGAGACUGCGGGAUCGAGCCCGCUCCGCCUCGAGGUCUUCGAGGGCCUUCUUCUUUGCGUCCUCGACGACACCUCUAGCGACCUCACUGUCCACAUACGCCACCUUCAUCUUCUGGAAGGAGUCUCGGAGGGAGUCCAGGUCGGUCUUGAGAAGGCCCUUCUCCUUGUCCAGGUCUGCAAUGACGCUCUUGUAGGACAGGGCCUCCUCCCGGGCUUUGGAUGCGGCCUCCUCGACCGUCAGAGCUCGCUCCCGCAGCAGCGUCAUCUCCUCCUCUGCCUUCUUUGAGGCCUCUUGAGCCUCGACCAGGGCAGCCUCCCUUGCCUUCUUCUCCUCCUCGAGCGCUAUGAGGUCUUUGUAGGCCUUAAGGAGCUUUUCUUGCGACUCGAGGAGUUGGUCCUAGAGGACGGGGAGCUGCUCCCAGCCUCCUCUUGUGGCGUGAAUGAAGCUAGACUUGAUACGGGAGGUCUCUUUCAUGUCCUACGAGCCGGGGGUCGAACGGUUAGAACACGAAACCAAAGGAUCUAUGAGAAUUAAGGACCAAAAAAUACUUACAAAGUAGGCCGGCCCGAGCCCGUUGUUGAUGACGUCCGAUAGGAGCCCCACCACGUGCUUCAUCCAAAGGCGGAGCUCCUCAACGUGUUCCCAUUUCGCCGCCUCCUUCCUGUCGUCCAGGAAGAUGUUGGGCUCGGACGGAUCGGUGGAAGCCCGGAUGCGGAUCCGAUCGGGGCACCAGUUCUCCAUCUCCUGGUCAGCCCGCGCCUUGACGCCGCGGAUAAGGUCCUCGACGGUCUCGAGGGAGCCCCCAUGGCGCAAGAACAGGUCGACGAGGCAUGGGAACCGUCCGUCGUCAUCCACCGUCUUCCAGGUACCGUCCUUACUCCCCGACGUCCCGAUCUCGUCCUCCUCAGAGGGAAAACGGUCCUCCCACGCCCGACGCUCUCGGAGGAACCCUGGGGCGAUCCCAUCCAUGCCGUAGAUCGUCUUCCUGAUCUCGGACUCGGGGUCGGCGGGGGUGCGCAUCAUGCAGGCAAGUGCCACCACACUGUCCGCUCGCCCCGGCUCUGCCCGGAUCGCGGUGGGCGCCCCCGGAAGGAGCCACGCUGGGGUUGGAGGGCCGUACACCGGCAAAUCCUCUUCCUGUUCUCCGGGCUCUUGCGGCGCCGGUGGUACUGGUUGGGGCAGACCUUGAGGCAGGGGCUCGAGCGGUCCUUCUUCUUGGCCCCCCUAAUGCUGUUGCUGCCCCUCGAGCAUUUGCUGCUGUUGCUCCACCUGCUGCUGCUGCUGCUGCUCCUGCUGCUGCUGCUGUUGCUGCUCCUGCUGCUGCUGCUGUUGUUGCCCCGCGUGUUCCUACGACUCUUGUCAGCGGCCCUGCUCCUGCGGCUGCCGCCUCGCCUCGCGCUCCCGCUCCUCCUCCUCCUCCUUCUUCCUCUGCUCCUCGAGGGUGCGGAGACCAGCAGGCCAGGGCGUCCGUUCCACGACAAAGGAGGUCGACGCCUCCUCAUCCAUAGGGCGGGCAUCCCUCGACGUCUCGUUGCCGCCAGACGUGUCGCAGAUGGUGAUGGGAUCCCCCUCGACCCCCGAUCGGGGAGGCUCGGGGGCUCCCUCUUGCCCCUGGGUCUGGGCCACCUCGACCCGUGUCGGCGGCGACGGGGCAAGCUCGAGACGAGGCGGGGCGCUCUCAGCGACGGCCGAAGGCUGAGAGUCGGAGGAGCCUAUAAAGCCAAGAAUAAAGGUCGGUCAUUGUAAUGACCAACGUAAGAACAUCACAAGUCCCAGAGGUAAGUCACAAACCUGGCUCCUUGGAGGCUGCUCCCAUUUUGAGCCUCUUCGCCAUUGAAGGCUGAGCCUACUCGAGCGUCCACUUUAAUCUGAAACAAAAGGAACAAGCGUAAAAAGACCGGCAUACAAGAAAACACAGAGGAACAGGAGAACAAAAGUCACAACGUCGAAGAGCUUACCCCACGGGGAGAACAGCUCGCCUGCCGGUGCCCCGACCGGUGGGCCUCGAGCCACCCCGUGUCAAGGUCCCAGACCCCUCGAGGACAGGCGUUGGCCUUGGCCCAGCAACUUCCCCUUGGUGGGCACCGGGACUGGUGCUCCUGCGGCCAGUGUCUCCUUUCUCGGAGGCCGCGGCACGACCGCGAGUCAGUGGCCCCGUCGCCUGAGGCCUAGCAUGGCCACCCAUCUUGGGCGCUGGGGGAGGGCGCGGGGCAACCUGACCAGUCGCGGGCACCGGGGGGGUGUCGGCACGAGGGCGGUGAGUUCCGCCUGGUCCCUCUUUUGGUGUCCCCAUCCGCGGGGCGUCGACGUCACCUCGAGGCGGACCCUCGAGGAUGCGGUCGAGGCGAGACGCCAUCCCCUCGGAGUCAUCGCUGUCCUCAUCAUCAUCUCCACCAUCAUCGUCGUUGGGGGACUCUUCCUCAGGCUCCCCCCUCUGCCUGAAUUUAGACUGACGUGCCUCUAAUGCUUGGCGAUCGAGGUUUUUCUUUUUCUCCCCUUUCUUCUUAGAGUCCUUGGCGGACUUUAACUUCUCGGCGAACCGGCACCGCGCGUCGCGAUCAACCUCGUCCUCCUUCACUGGAGGCCUCGAGGACCGGACAUCAAUCCGUCCCUGCCAGAACAAAGGUGGAUUUAGGAAAAAGGGAAGAAAAGAAACCCAGAAUCAAGGCUGCGCACGAGAAGAAAGCAUACCAGAUCGAUCGAGCCUACAUCUGGCCUCAUGGGGAAGCCGUUAACAUGCUCUGGCUUGAUGUCACCAGCAAUGGCGGCCCUGACCCUGGCCGCGACUUCGUCGUUCGCCGGAGCCUCGCUUGACAUCCGGCAUGCCUCGAGGUCCCAAGAUGAGGCGCCAGGAGCCAUCUCGUCCAUCCUCAGCGGUCGAGACAUCAACGGGAGAACUCUCCGGUGAUGGACGGCCAAGAGAACGAGGGCGGCGGUAAAGCCCUCCGAGCGCAGUUUCUUCAUGACGUCGAGGAGGGGGUCGAGCCGAGAUUGAUGAACCUGGACGACGCCGUACGUCCAAUUUUCCGGACGCUCCGUGAUCAGACGCCCGGUGUAGGCGGGCAGGAGGUCGUCGUCAUUUCUCAAGUAGAACCACUAGGAAUCCCAGCGGGCGUGGUUGGUCGACAGUCCCACCGGGAUGUACUCGCGCGGCCUCUCCGUCUUCUCGGUCCUCAACACGAGGUUGAGGCAACCUGCCAGAACAGGCUUCCUCACGCUGGUGGUCCCAGUGGGGGCGUUGAAGAGCUCGCCCCUGUAGAGGUGGAGCCACAGCUCCCAGUGGGGCAUCAUCCCCAAAUAGCCCUCACACACCGCGGCGAAGACCGCGGCGACGGUGAUGGCGUUUGGGGAGAAGUGCUGGAGCUCCACCCCGUAGUGCUGGCAGAGCGCCCGCAUGAAGCGGCUCGGGGGAGCGCCCAAUCCAUGGCGGUGGAACUUGGCAAACGAAACCACAUAGCCCUUGGGCGGCCUGGGCUCCCUGUGGUCCGCCGGCGGCGCGAUCCACUCCGGCGACGACAGCGAGGUGCGGCGGCGCAGGAGUCCCUCCCUCUCAAGCUCUUGCAGCCGGCGCUCCGUCAUCGACGAUAGGCGCCAGUCAUCGGCGGCGACAAGCCUCAUAGGCAUUCUAGCCGGAAGGAUGGCGGAUCCGCUAUUACUCGAGGGGGGCACGCGCGCAUAGGAUGGCAAGGGAACUAAGGCAAUGAGAGGGCUAAGGCGAGAAUGAAGACGGGAGGCAGAAGGGAGAACAGCGGCGACGCCAGGACACAUUUAUAGGCAGCUGUCCACCAAUGGGCAGAUCCGAUAAAAGAGGUAGCUCCCCUCCGUAAAUGCGCCGUCUAAUGGUCCUUUCCCUCCUCUCAGGUGGAGCGCCCCGAAUUCCACGCCAACGCAGUGUCAUAACGUCUCCCACCUAAAAAGGCGCGCCCAACGGGCAAGAAGGCGAACUACCCACGGUCUUUUCCUUCCCUUGUAAGCCAAGGAGUGCACCCGUGGAAGCCUCGAGAGGUCGCAGGCUGGCCCACUGAAAGGGUUCGAUAGCCGAUCUCGAGCACCAGAGUCAGGGAUCCCUAGCGAGAGGUCGAAGAUCGAGGUCCGCCUCGAAGACUUACUGGGGAUGUCCAAGGUAGGGUCGAGACAGUUGAGAGGAAUGCCCCCGACGGGAGGCAUCGAGCCGCCGGACACUAUCGAAUGAGACCGGUAUCCCCGACCACGUCGACCCUGCUUUAUGAGAACGCCUCCGGGCUACAGCUGACCCCCUCGAAAGGGGCACAGGUUCUCACUUGGACUACCCGCUAGGAACUCAAUCUGGGGUGGAAGACGCUCGCUCUAUCGAGAGUACGUCAAAACCUCCGCGCAAAACGAGCCAAUCAGAACCUUCCACCACUGGUGUCGAUAGCGUUUCUGCGAAUUAGGCAAUAUAACCCUUGAAGGAGUCAAAAACUCCUCCAAGGGCUCGGGGGCUACCCCCGCGGGGUCGCUCGCGCGCCCCCAUGGAAAUUCGAUCGCAAAACAAAGCCUCCACUCGAGCGCCAGCGCUCAAAUGGAGACUCGGGGGCUACUGUCGAGGGUAUCAGUAAGGGGUACCCUCACCGAUGCACAUAACGAGACUACCCGUACGCAGGUCGAGGCCCUCAACUCGACGCUUUGGUCAUACAUAUGCGCGGUCGUCGACGACCGCAGCCUCGAAGACGGAAAUAGCGUCGAGCGAAUCGAUCAGGGGUCGAGCGCCAGCUACCGUCGAAUACGGAAAUGGGCUCGCGCGAACCAGGAGGCGUCGAGUGCAAGGACGCCGCCCGCCGCCUGACGCGCGCACGAGAGCCAAGGCAUUAAAUGCGCCUGUCGCUUUCCCGCCUAACACGCUGGUCACGGGAAGCGUGAUAGGGAACAGGCACCCGUCCCGUCGUUCUUUUUGCAGCCUUCUCCACCAAACGACCCAGAGCAUGUCAGGAUGCGGGAAGCAUGGAUGGAACGUCUAAUCAGGACCCCCUCGAGGCAGCCAAGGUCAGCGCUCUGGAUAUCAGGGCAUUGCACGGCAUCCGACCCUCGAUCAGACAUGGUUCCUUCUUGGAGACGAGUUGGGCGUCGACUGACAACAUCGCAACCACUCCGCCGGAUCUGCCGCCAUACCGUACAAGCGUGCGACCGGUGAACCAGCCCAAGACGGCGCGCAGAGCCGGAUACAGGGGCACGCGUAAUCAUCAUCGAGCUACCAAGAUGGGACGGCUCGAGACCACGCCGGUACGGAGGCCUCGAGUAGGUCAGCGCGCCAUGCUUCUAUCGACCCCUACUCUAACACCUAUACAUGUACCCUAGGUCUCUCCUUGGAGCUAUAAAAGGAAGGACCCGGGAUUAGAUAGACACACGCAACACUACACCCAUACGCAGUAGAACUCCCAUACUCCAUACCACGCUUGUAUUCGCCCCUGUACAAGCACUUAGGUGCAAGAUAAUACAAACUUCCCUCCCCCACUGGACGUAGGGCCUUCUCUUGCCCGAACCAGGAGAAGUCUCUGUGUCUUCUUGCAUCACCAUCUGGGAAAGGGAGCACGCAUACAAAUUUACUCGUUGGUGUGACCCCCCAUGGGGAAAACACCGACACAAUCUAACUAAGCCAAGUAUAUAACUAUGAUAAACUAAGAACAAUAUAAUCUUGAAUAUAAGCAAGUAGAGCAAAGUCAUAAGCAAUAUAUUGAAAUAGAACAAAAUCAUAUUCAUAAUAUUGAAGAACAAAGAAAAUUAGAAGAACAAUUAGAAGCACAAUUAGAGAAUUACCAAGAAUCCUCUUGACAGAUCCGGAAACCAAUCGAAGAUUAAGUCCUUCUAGUUCUAAUCCUAUGUAGCUAUGCUAAUCUAGAUGUCUAAUUGAUGUGGUGGCUCUAAUCUUGAUGAGAGGCUUCUUCUCCCUUGAAGAAUAAUGAAUUAGGGUUGAGAGGCUCUCUCCUCCAGGGGCCAGGGGGUCUGGUUUUAUAGUCCCUUCAAGUGAAUAUGGGCCGUUGGAUCAAACCGACAUUGAUUGAACGGUUAUCCUUGAUCCUUUAGGUCGGUGGAGAUCUCCCCCGAAACAGAGUCCUGAUUGGACUCCAAUAGAGGGCGGGUGCCCUGGUUACCUGGGCCGGCGCCCAGGUCCUGGCCCCAUUCGGCCUCCGCUUCCUUCCCGUGGCUUCUGGAGUCUUCUAGAUGUAAGAAAAUUGCACGGCACGUUGAUAUCUCUAUGUAACCCCGACGUGUGGGCCUUCCUUUCGUAUUUCCUAAUAACCCGCUGCAGAAAUAGACAAACACAAAAACUCGUAGAAUUCUGUCAGAUAAAACCCUAAGUCUAGAUGUCGAUUUCAUUUGGAUCCUUUUCUUUGUUUAUUUGAUAAUUAAAUUUGAUACUUAAGGACUGUCAACAAACUCCUCCAAGCUUACCUCUUGCUCGUCCCUGAGCAAGGAUAGACUCAGCUAUGAAAGUUGUUGUAAUGCCUUUAAAAAUUGACGGUACACAUGCUUUUAAAUGAUGUCUUAUCUCUGAGUUAGAGUAAACUGUCAAGACUUAAAACUUACUUACUUUACCUUUCACCAUGGCACUUGUAACCGUCACUUCCAUCUUGAGUUGUUAAAAGAUAUAACAGUCUAGUCAAGUGCCAUGUCUCUUAUUCUUGAUUAGCUAUAGCUCUGGAGUUUUUGCAGAUUUUCAAAUAAAACUCAGAGAUUCCUUGUAUGAUUCUCUUAAAUCUCUCUUUUGUCGUAUUUCUGGAUCCUUACCAAGGCAGUGAUGGUAUAUGCAUUCUCUCAAUAUAUAUGGUAUUUAUGGUAUAAAGCAUAUUGCCUUCUCUCUCACCCUACUCUAAUAUGGCUUUAAUAUCUGGAGCUCAUAGGUGGGAGAUAAAGUAUACAUACUUACAAGACAUUUAUUGCAUAGUCAAACCAUGGAUCCAAAGAAACAAAUCAAUAAGUCAAAUCAAGAUGUGCAUGUGUGGCGAAUGAAUGGUGUAUGGUGAUGAUGGUGUUAACAAUGGUGGAAGUCUAAUUCUUUUGCUCUUUGAGGGGAUACAUACCUUCCUUGCUUUUUGAAACUUUAUGAGGAGAAUGAGAUGCUCUUCUUUUUCUUUUCUCUCAGGUGGGUAUCUUGUACCCCUAAUUCUACUAUCGGACACUUGUCCAUUUUUACCUCUCGUCUCACUUUUUCUUUUCUUUCGAGGUUCCGGGCACUUGCCCCUUUUUAUUUCCUUGUAUCUUUUUUUUCUCUUUUUUUAGAGCACUCAUCUCUUGAGAUAAUAUAGCAAGUGGUAGUAACAAGAUAACUUGAGCAUUUAUUUCACAGGGAAAAACAGAAAUGUUUUUGGCUAUUCUCUCCCGGAUUAGGAGUAGAAUAUUUUUAGGUGGUUCUAGAGAUGGAAAUGGGUGGAUAUAUGUGGACGGUACUUCCGGAGUAGAAGCAGCAUAUGUGAGUGAACGUGCAAGUGAAAUCUUGAUUUAACCACAUGACAAGCUCCUAAGGGUCUACACAGCUUGACCACACUCAAUGCUCAUAAGCAGUAAAAAGUAAAUGUUGUGGCUCAAAGUCUAGCAAGCAUGUAUAUAUAGCUGUGGUAGGAAUUUAAACUCUCAUCAUACAGGAACUCAUCAUGCAACAUUUUAAAGAUUUUCAAAGAUAAAAUUCUCCAGAAUUCUAGCAUCUCUAGGAACAGAUAAACAGCAGCUCAACCUUCCCAUAUCAUAUCCGUUAACAACUUAGACUUCAGAUCAAGUUUUCAUCCCAUAAGUUUAGGUCUAGAGCAAGCUUUAAAUUAUAACAGUUAUGUCUAAACUAGUGAGAGAACUUCAAAUGUGCAAAUUAGGAAGAGCAACUAUUCAUCAUAUCCAUGCUAGAGUUUUAUUCAGAUACAGAUUAGCAUAGCCACUUUAUUUAUUUAUUAAACACACUAAGCAAAAGAUAUAUAUAUAUAAGUAUAAAAUCUUUAUUUGGUUUUUCAUAGUUAUAUUUUAAUAUAGUAUAAGUAUAAAGAUAGAUAGAUAGAAAUACUUAUCGGGAUAAAUGGGGGUGCUCUCCCCCAAGCUGAAUUUUGACGUAAUUUCUCUUGAUGUAGCUAGCAGGUGGCAGAGGUGUAUUUGAAAGUCAGCAGCAUUCUGACAGCGAUUAGAAUAUCCUCCGUCUGCUAGUCUUCUUGAUUCUUAAAAUUCUGUGGAGCUCAAAUAGACAACAAAGCUUGUGGAACUGAUUAAGUGUUAGCAAAAAUAUCUAUCCUUUAUCAUGUUGAGACUCCUCAAUAACUAUUACUCCCUAUUUUUAUAUUUUCAUUUUUAUAGAGCUGAAAAAUAUUUAUUUUAUUUUUAUGCCACCAUAGUGAAUGUACUUAUGGGUUUUAUGCCACUCGUCUACUCACAUGGGGCUUACUGUUUUUCAACAUUUUUAUUUUCUUUUUAGGAUAGUAUAAAUAUAACUAAUUAAGUAAACUAUUUUAAAUAAUUGAAAGGGAAAGGAUAACUACCAAGUUUACCUCUUGGCAAGGCGUUCGGUAUUUUUAAGUCCUCCGAACGGGACUCUUCUCUUUCUCCAUUGUCCUAAGAUUCGUUGGGUGGCGUAGUCGGUACUUCCGGCGGCGCCUCCUCUUCAUGUAUAGUUGUCUUCUCUUUCCAUACCUGACUCGGUGCUACGGUCUCCUUUGGAUAAUUCUGUUUAAACUAUACGUCUUCUAACCUUACAACUUCUCCAUCAUAGUCUGCCCAUCCGUCCUUGAUGAUUUGCCUCCUCUGGUUGCGGUUGCGUCGUUUUCUUACCUGCUUAGAUUCUUCAAAGAUAUAUUUAGGGUCAGUAAAAUAACGGCGUACCUUCUCUAAGGGGAAGUGCAUAUGGACUUCUCCAGUUUUAAUGUAGAUGAUUGCUUUAACGUUGCUGAGGAAUGGUCUUCCAAGGAUGAUGGGUGGAUCGUACUCAUCUUCUCCCAUGUCAAUAACCUAAAAGUCUGUGUAGACAAAAUGAUCGUCUAUUUUGACUGGGACAUCAGUUACUGUUCCUUUAACUUCUCGAAAUGUCUGAUCUGCCAUCUGGAGCUGAGUGUAUGUUGGUCUUAGGGGCAUGGUUCCGAACAAGAGACGAUAGGUGACUGCGGCCAUUAUGUUGACGCCUGAUCCGGUGUCGCAAAACGUCUUGUAGAAGUUGUAUCCAUUUAUGGAGCAAUAGAUGCUUGGCAUUCCUGGGUCAUCCUUCUUGGUCAAAAACGGUGACUUAAGUUGGUGAUCUUGGCCUCCAUGAACUACAGUGAUCAUCUUAGCUGACUCGGUCCACACUUGCUUGUUCCUGUUCCUCCUGUUGGUCCUCUUCCUUGAUUCACGACUGGAUUGAUCUAGGAUUUGUGUAGUCUUGUUCCUGAAGAAAAACGUCUCCUUCCUCCCUUUGAAGUAGAAACUGAUCUUGGCAGCACUAGCGUAGAUGAUAGCUCCCGAGGUGUUCAAGAAUGACCUCCCUAAAUGAUGGGUGCCCUCUCAUCAUUACCGGUCUCUAUCACCACGAAGUCUGCUGGGGCAUAUAAGGUACCAACUCGGACACAAAGGUUCUUCAAUAUUCCUUUUGGAAAACUUAAUGCCUGAUCUGCAAACUGCAAACACAUGGUUGUCUCUAAUAAAGGAUAUGUAAAGAAUUUUUCAUAGAGUACCCUGGGUAUAAUGUUGACGCUAGAGCCAAAGUCGCAGAGUGCUUCUGGGACGUUCACCAUGCCGAUGGAGAUCGGGAAGACGGGCGUCCUGGAUCACCUCUCUUGACUGGCAGAAGGUCAGUAGUGAAUUCAGUGAUGGGGUUACUCCAGUUAUUACCUGCAUCAAACAUGUCUACAAGAUUUGCAGAUUCUAAUCCUUCCGGUUGUGAUGGUAUACCGGGGUUAGUAGCAGGAACAGCAGCAGAUAUUUGAUUUAACUGAGAUUCAAUCAUUUUAUUAAAGCUAAUUUGAUUCUUGAUGGAAGUAGAGAAAUUAUCCAUUCUAUUAUUUAUAUUUUCUAGCAUUUUAUCAUUAUAUGCCAAUUUCUUAGAUAGGUUAUCCAUUAGUUUUCCUUGAUUAGACACUAACUCUCUCAGAGGUGGAAAAUUAUUAUUAUUACUGUAAGAAUUGUUACCUUGAUAAUUACCUGAGUAGUUAGGCCUCUGUUGAUUCCAACCUUGAUUUUGUUGAGGACGGUUGUAAUAGUUGUUGUUGUUAUUAUUGAUGUAGUUCACACCCUCAAGCAUCUCAGGACAGUGAUUGCCUGAGUGUCCAGUAUCUCCACACUCCUCACAAGUCAUGUGAGAGUCGUAGAUGUGCAUAACUUCUUUCUUAUCUCCAGCUCUAUCGUCGAGCUUCUUCAUGAGCAGGUCUAGCUUUGCAGACAGCAUGUCUACCUCCUUGAGCUGAUGCAUACCUCCACCUCUCUUGCGUGUCUAGGUCCUUUCUUCAUUCUAGCCUUGGUUGGACGCCAUCUUUUCCACAAGAGCUGUGGCUUGUGGUAUAGUAAGUGAUAAGAAUGCUCCUCCGGCUGCAGCAUCCAUGGUCUCUCGGGCACUGUUGCCGAGCCCAUGAUAAAACAUCUGCAUCAAUAGCCAACUCUCCAUUCCAUGAUGGGGACAUUCUAGGAUGUAGUCUUGAAAGCGCUCCCAUGCUUCUGGAACGGAUUCAUCAUUUUAUUGCUGAAAACUUGUAAUCUUCCCACGGAGAGCAUUGGUCUUGCCCAUGGGAAAGAACUUAGCCAGGAAGUUUGUUGAGCAGAGUGCCCACGUAGUAUUCUUCUCCUUUGUAGCGUAGAACCACAGCUUCGCUCUUCCUAACAGUGAGAAUGGGAAGAGGCGAAGUAGUAUAGCAUCUCUGGGGACUCCUGAUAUGGUAAAUGUAUUGCAAAUCUCCAGGAAGUGUUGUAGAUGAGCACUAGCAUCUUCGUGUGCCUUUCCACAGAACUGGUUGGAUUGCACCAUGUUGAUAAGUCCAGGCUUGAGCUCAAAGUUGCCAUCGAUCUCUGCAGCAGGUCCAGUGCGGAUGUUGUCCGUAGUGGGAGCUGAGAACUCGCAGAUUGAUUUGUUCGCCAUGGCUUCGAACUCUGAAGACAAGUUUCGGUGAUCUUCUUGAUUGGAUGAAGCUUCUUGCUGAAGUGUUGAUGAUCUCUUCUUGAGCUUGGCUCUAGUUCUUUUGAAUAACGCUUCGGGAUUGUCAACAAAAUUUCCUAGAAGAUGUCUUCUAUUCAUACAUUCCCCUGCAUAAGAUAAAAUAGAAAAUAUCAGGGUAAAACUGUAUGAGAGAAUAGAUAAGCUCAAUCAUAUUAGUGAUGCGAAUGAUAACUCAAAAUCUAUAUCCAUUCCUGAUUAGUAAUCAACCUUCCCCGGCAACGGCGCUAAAAAUGUUUGGUGGGUAUUCUUAACAUCACUACCAAAAGUAGACAACUUUCUAAUUCUAGUAAUGGUGCAAAAAAUGCCAAACCUAUCCCUCAUACCACUUAAGACAAGUUGUCAUCCCCAGCAUGACAUGAGAGACGCGGAAUUGAAAUAUGCAAUUGCUCUUCUAAAUAAAUAAUGAAUGGGAUCUGCAAGCGCACAGAUUAAUGCCGAUGUAGCAUUUUAACCGGGAAGUAUUCAAGGUAUCAUUAUUUAUAUUUUUACCACUGGGAAGGGAUUAACAAUCAUCAAUAUUGAUUACAGAAUAGAAUAUGAGAUUGAGUAUCUAUCAUUGCAUGUAUAAUUGAGAACAUUGUAUCUAAUUCUUUCAUACAAGGGUAAGUGUCACAUAAAAGAUAUAUGAAAUAAUGAAUAGUGACAAAGGUAAUUAGUCUGAUCAUAACUUAGCCACAUAUAAAUAUGAUAAGCACCUCAAUUAGAUACUCUAGAAAGUCAUUAGCAUGGUAUUAGAACGAACUACAAGAAUAUUUCCUAAGUUAUUCUCAACUAUAUAGUCUAGCAUUAUCAUAGUUAGUGCAAGCAUACUUAGCAAUCAUUGUGAGACAAGACUACGCCCAUGCAUAGUGAUAUUAGCAAGGUAAAUGAGAAACAUAGCAAUCUCUACCCUGUAAUAAUGUUGCUCUGCCAGCCCACGAUCUGGCAUAUUGGGUACAAUACAUGAGAGGGAGACUAUAUAAGAAUCAAUGAAGCUGUCACUAUCACGAACUACCCCACGAUCUGGCAUAUUGGGUACAAUCGCAGAUAAAUACGGUAUAAGCACCACGCCUACACAAUAUCUAUCAUUUACCCAUGGAUCCGAUGGAUAAACACUAUACGAUCCUAAACAUGUAUAUAGAUCCAAUCUAACUAAGCCAAGUAUAUAACUAUGAUAAACUAAGAACAAUAUAAUCUUGAAUAUAAGCAAGUAGAGCAAAGUCAUAAGCAAUAUAUUGAAAUAGGACAAAGUCAUAUUCAUAAUAUUGAAGAACAAAGAUAAUUAGAAGAACAAUUAGAAGCACAAUUAGAGAAUUACCAAGAAUCCUCUUGACAGAUCCGGAAACCAAUCGAAGAUUGACUCCUAGUUCUAAUCCUAUGUAGCUAUGCUAAUCUAGAUGUCUAAUUGAUGUGGUGGCUCUAAUCUUGAUCAGAGGCUUCUUCUCCCUUGAAGAACAAUGAAUUAGGGUUGAGAGGCUCUCUCCUCCCGGGGCCAGGGGGUCUGGUUUUAUAGUCCCUUCAAGUGAAUAUGGGCCGUUGGAUCAAACCGACAUUGAUUGAACGGUUAUCCUUGAUCCUUUAGGUCGGUGGAGAUCUCCCCCAAAACAGAGUCUUGAUUGGACUCCAACAGAGGGCGGGCGCCCUGGUUACCUGGGCGGGCACCCAGGUCCUGGCCCCGUUCGGCCUUCGCUUCCUUCCCGUGGCUUCUAGAGUCUUCUAGAUGUAAGAUAAUUGCUCGGCACGUUGAUAUCUCUAUGUAAUCCCGACGUGUGGGACUUUCUUUCGUAUUUCCUGAUAACCCCCUGCAGAAAUAGACAAACACCAAAACUCGUGGAAUUCUGUCCGAUAAAACCCUAAGUCUAGAUGUCGAUUUCAUUUGGAUCCUUUUCUUUGUUUAUUUGAUAAUUAAAUUUGAUACUUAAGGACCGUCAACACAAGCUUAGAGUCUUAAAAUAAGCACUGAUCAGAUUGUAACAUGAGCUUUUAAUUAUUUGCAAUAUUACCUGGUGUAUUGUGCAUAUAAGGAUAAUUGUAAAAAUAUUCCUUCGGGUAUUCUUGUCACUAACCUUUCCAGGAUUGGAGCAAGAAGAUCAGAUGAAUGACAAGCACAAGGUAUGUCCAACCAAUCAUCAUGCAACACUGAAUUAAAUUCAUCCAAACUUGAAAUUUUGCAAAAUUCAAGUUUGGGGCAGUACCUUACAUAAAAAAAACAUCCUUUGUCAUGUUGCUAUGUUGGUUGUCCCUACCUUUGAGACAUGCUCAAUUUGUUAAACGCUAAUCAUUCUAUUUUCAUCUCCACUUGAGUAAGAUCUCUAUAAUGCUGUUAUGCUACCUUUAUCUAUUCGCAAGUAAGUGUUGGUUUGAAAGUACUCGACAUACUUCCAUUCGCAUUUAAAUUAAGCGUGGUGCUUAGGUUAAAUAGCCUUCCUUAAUCUGAUUAGACAUGGAGUCUAGUUUGGUUACUGAACUAAAAACUGCCUGAGUAGACAUUGGUAUAUUUUGUUGGACUAACCCCUGCAGGAAAACUGUCAAUAUCAACCUAGGAAGUCCUUAGAUAAACUCACACUGGAGACAAAGAGAGAGACACAUCAAGUUUAACAAUUUACACAAGGAGGACGUAGCUCAUAAGAGAUGAUCCCUGGAGGGUGCCACAAACACGAUGCACAACCGCUAAUAAAGGAAAGCUUCCACAAGGUGAUACUAUACCAUCACUCUUCAAGUAAGGUAACAUCUUAAAGUACUUGAUUAUCACUUUUAUAAGCUUUUCCUUGGUUCUAGCUUUCACAUAAAUAAAGAGACAAACAGGUAUGAUUUAUAACUCCAAAUUAACCAACCCAACUGAUUCAACUUGUUUAGUCCUUUAAUCUUUGUUCCUAGUACUACCUCCAAGAUCCCACACUCCUAAUCAUAUGAGCUAAAAUAUUACACAUUCAAUCUUUGAGAGAUAUAAAGAAAAAGACAUAUACAUAGAUAGAUUAUCUUUCUAUAAGGUUGAAGGGAUCUGAUCUGACAAAUGUUAUAAGUGCUACACUCAUGAACUUAUCAUCCAUCAACUUUGUCUUGCUCACUAUGCUUAAGGUUAGAGAAGAACAAAUACACUUUUGGUUUUGUUAGUGUUUUCCACCAACAGGGCCCAUGCACUUGAUCUCUGCCUUGUCUCUAUGAGCAGGUACACUUCAAGCAAAACAUGGAGGUGUUUUAUAACUCUCAGACUCUACCAAGUGAAGGACCAGGAUCUAUGAGCAUAAACACACUGAAUAGGAUACUGCCAACGCCGCACUUCGAACUACUGGGCAAAUGAAGAACAUGGGUGACACCGUAUCAAGAGGUGCAGACGCCAAGGUCCUCACCUGAAUCAAAUGACGCACCUAAAGAAUGAACACGGUGAGAAGUCUUGUCUAGAAGACUUAAAACAUUGGAUCCUUACCGGAAGAUAAAAUCGGUAUUUAUCCAUAUUUAUCUUUUCUGCAUUCCUUUUCCUUUUUAUUCCAUCACUUGCAUUAGCAUAUUUACCUUUCCACAUUAGCAUUAGAAAAGAAAACAAAAAAAAUUUUGUUCAUUGCACUGCAUCAUAAAAUCUAAAGCAUAGAUUUGUGGUUUAAAACCCAUAGGUAUAUUGACUGCGGUGGCAUAAAAUAAAUAUAUUUUCAUCUUACAAUACAAAUAUAAAAAUAAUAAGUGCACGAUCCUGCUAAAUAAAUAAAAUUUAUUAGGAGGAAUCUCAAUAUGAUAAAGGCUAAGAGAUAUUAUGCUAACACUUAACCAGUUCCACAAAGCUUUGUUGUCUAUUUGAGCUCCACAGAAUUUAAGGAUCAAAGAAGACUAGCAGAUGGAGGACAUCCUAAUUGCUGUCAGGGUACUGCCGACAUUCAAAUACACCUCCGCCACCUGCUAGCUACAUCAAAAGAAAUUACGUCAAAAUCCAGCUUAGGGGAGAGCACCCCCAUUUAUCCAGCUAAGUGUUUCUACUCGUGUUUAUACUUUACUCAAAUAAUAAAAAGAUGCAAAAUCAUAAAAAUCCAAAUAAAGAUUUUUGUGCUUAUAUAUAUAUCUUUGCUUAGUUUGCUAAAUAAAUAAAUAAAGUUUGCUAUGAACCCUCAUGAUAAGCUAUCACAUGGAAAUGAUGAAUAGUUGCUCUGCCAUGACUAGUUCUCAAAAUUGAAAUCUCUCUCAAGUUUAGGCAUGACUGUUAUGAAUUAAGAUUUGCUCUAAACCUGAACUUGUGGGAAGAGUACUUGAUCUAAAGACUAAGUCGUUAACGGAUAUAAUAUGGGAAGGUUGAGCUGUUGUUUAUCUGUUCUUAGAAAUGCUAGAAUUCUCGAGAAUUUUAUCUUUGAAAAUCUUUAAAAUGUUGCAUGAUGAGUUCCUGUAUGAUGAGAGUUUAAAAUCCUACCACAGCCACAUGUACAUGAUUAUUAGACUAUGAACCAUACAUUUACUUUUUACUGCUUAUGAGCAUUGAGUGUGGUCAAGCUGUGUAGACCCUUAGUAGCUUGUCAUGCGGUUAAAAUCAAGAUUCACUUGCACGUUCACUCAUACAUGUUGCUUCUACUCCGGAAGUACGCAUCCACAUACAUCCACUCAUUUCCAUCUCCAGAUGCACCCAAAGUUAUUCUACUCCUAUCUAGGAUAGAAUAGCCAAAAACAUUAUCCUAUCCCUAUUAUUCCCCGUGAAAUAAAUGCUCGAGAUAUUUUGGUUACUACCACUUGCUACAUUAUUCUAAGAGGGUGAGUGCUCUGAAAAAAAAGAAGAAAAAUACGAGAAAAUAAAAAGGGGCAAGUGCCCGGAACCUCGAAGAAAAGAAAAAGUGAGACAAGAGGUAAAAAUGGACAAGUGUCCGACAGUAGAAUUAGGGGUACAAGAUACCCACCUGAGAGGAAACAAAAAAAUAAUAUAGAGCAUCUCAUUCUUCUCAAAAAUCUUCAAAGUGCAAGAAAGGUAUGUAUCCCCUCAAAAGAGCAAAAGUAGAAUUAGACUUCCACCAUUGUUACCACCAUACACCAUUCAUUCGCCACACAUGCACAUCUUGAUUUGACUUAUUGACUUGUUUCUCUGGAUCCAUGGUUUGACUAUGCAAUAAAUGUCUUGUAAGUAUGUAUUAGCUGUCUCCCACCUAUGAGCUCCAGAUAUCAAAACCUUGUUAGAGUAGGGUGAGAGAGAAGGCAAUAUCAUUAUGCCUCAUACCACAAAUACCACAUACUUUGAGAGAAGGCAUAUAUCAUCACUGCCUUGGUAAGGAUCCACAAAUACUACAAAAGAGAGACUAGAGAGAGUCAUACAAGGAAUCUCUGAGUUUUAUUUGAAAAUCUGCAAAAACUCCAGAGCUAUAGUUGAUCAAAGAACAAGGGACAUGGUGCUUGACUUGACCGUUCUAUCUUUUAACUACUCAAGACACAAGUGACGGUUGCAAGCUCCAUGGUGAAAGGUAAUAUGAGUAAAUUUUAAAUCUUAACAAUUUACCCUAACCUAGAGAUGAGAUCUUGUUUAAACGCAUGUGUACCUUUAAGGCAUAAAACCACUGUAGAAACUCUUGAGUCUAUCCUUCCUCUGGGACGAGCAAGAGGUAAGCUUGGGAGAGUUGUUGACGGUCCUUAAGUACCAAAUAUAAUCAGCAAAUAAACAAAGAAAAGGAUCCAAAUGCAACCAACACCCAGACUUAGGGUUUUAUCUGACAGAAUUCCACGAGUUUUGGUGUUUGUCUAUUUCUGCAGGGGGUUAUCAGGAAAUAUGAAGGAAAGGCCCACAUGUCGGGUUUACAUAGAGAUAUUAACGUGUCGCGCAAUUUUCUAUCAUCUAGAAGACUCCAGAAGCCACGGGAACGAACGGGAGGCCGAGCGGGCUCGGGGUUAGGGCGCCCGCCCUUCCCCCUUGGGCGCCCGCCCUACUACAGUAGCCAAUCACGUUCAACCUCGCAUAUUAUGCUCCACCGACCUAAAGGAUCAAGGAUAACCGUUCAAUCAAUGUCGGUUUGAUCCGACGGCCCAGAUUCACUUGAGGGGACUAUAUAAGCAGACCCCCUGGCCCCAGGAGGAGGCACCCCUUGAUCAUUAUUCAUUAUUCAUAGAUAGAGCAAAAGCUAGGGUCUGGAGAUGAGAGCUCUCCUCUCAUCUCUAAACUAGAGUAGGUCUAGAUAGUAGCGAAAUAGAGAGCGAGGGA
This 40289-nucleotide long non-coding RNA is filed under the name Sorghum bicolor (sorghum). RNAcentral describes it as "long non-coding RNA (SBIC_LNC012401)". The stretch from base 33606 to 33712 matches the Rfam family "Plant small nucleolar RNA R71". The record is from RNAcentral. Lineage: Eukaryota; Viridiplantae; Streptophyta; Magnoliopsida; Poales; Poaceae.